AUGAGGCUUUAGGGGACAUUUUAGAUCUAAACCAUAGCAGGUUAGAAUCCUCCAGCCUGCCAAGAGCCGAACAGAACCCUCAGAACAUCUCAGAGACGUGAAUUCUCUCUUGUUCUUUAUCUUUCUUCUAUCAACACCGGAGCACCUCGUUCUUGGAACUUUGUUCUCCAGGACUUACAUCUGCAUCCUCCACAACCACAGCAGUCUCAGGACUUGGCCUCGGUGUGAAGGUGACACCUCAGCCCUCCUGGUUCUCAGGCCUCCAGAUCCUAACUGAAUUAUGCUAUGUUGACCUGUAUCCCUUCACUGCAAUGAACCACAGCUGCAAGCAUAACAGCUCUUCUGAAUCCUAUGAUCCUGCCCAGCAAAUCAGCCAGUCUGCAGUCUUGGCUUCUGGAAAGAUGCCAGCAUGGUGAACAGCAGAGAAAGAGUCUCCUUUGGUGUCCUGACACUGGAAUAUAGCAAAAUGAGGAAGCAAAGAAGGAGGGAAGUAGGUCCCUGGGACCCAGCAAGGAUCUGAAGCAAGAAGCCCAUAAGGAGAGCAAAGAGAGAGACUUCCACAAAGAAGGAGGUGGCAAAUGACUUUCUCCCUGAGCCCUGACUCACUUCAUGGGAAGGGCAGCUCAACCUGGAUGUAUGGUGACUACUUGUGAUCCCAGAGGCCUCCACAGGGAAAUGCAUCAGUGGAAUAGAGCAGUGGACACAGUGGACUG
Heterocephalus glaber (naked mole-rat) is the source of this 713-nucleotide non-coding RNA. NCBI's taxonomy places the organism in Eukaryota, Metazoa, Chordata, Mammalia, Rodentia, Bathyergidae. The record is from RefSeq and is a predicted model, not a curated record.